RNAcentral lists this transfer RNA (33 nucleotides) under Ipomopsis aggregata subsp. formosissima. RNAcentral describes it as "partial tRNA-Leu". The record is from RNAcentral. Lineage: Eukaryota; Viridiplantae; Streptophyta; Magnoliopsida; Ericales; Polemoniaceae.
AUCCGUCGACUUUAGAACUCGUGAGGGUUCAAG